Molecule: unclassified non-coding RNA, 253 nt
Filed under: uncultured Caryophanales bacterium
Lineage: Bacteria; Bacillati; Bacillota; Bacilli; Caryophanales
Description: uncultured Bacillales bacterium contains 16S-23S intergenic spacer region
Rfam family: Bacterial small subunit ribosomal RNA
Source: RNAcentral
UACGUAAGGGGCGAGCGUUGUCCGGAAUUAUUGGGCGUAAAGCGCGCGCAGGCGGUUUCUUAAGUCUGAUGUGAAAGCCCACGGCUUAAGCGUGGAGGGUCAUUUGAAACUGGGGAACUUGAGUAAAGAAGAGGGGAGUGGAAUUCCAGGUGUAGCGGUGAAAUGCGUAGAUAUGUGGAGGAACACCAGUGGCGAAGGCGACUCUCUGGUCUGAAACUGACGCUGAGGCGCGAAAGCGUGGGGAGCGAACAGG